UGGGGAAUCUUGGACAAUGGGCGCAAGCCUGAUCCAGCCAUGCCGCGUGAGUGAAGAAGGCCUUAGGGUUGUAAAACUCUUUCGCCGGAGAAGAUAAUGACGGUAUCCGGAGAAGAAGCCCCGCGUAACAUUCGUGCCAGCAGCCGCGGUAAUACGAAGGGGCGUAGCGUUGUUCGGAAUUACUGGGCGUAAAGCGCACGUAGGCGGGUUUGUAAGUAGGGGUGGAAAUCCCUGGCAUCCGAACCCACGGAACUGCCUUCUAGACUGCAAGCCUGGAGGUCAGGAGAGGCGAGUGGAAUACCGAGUGUAGAGGUGAAAUUCGUAGAUAUUCGGUGGAACACCAGUGGCGAAGGCGACUCGCUUGGACUGAUACUGACGCUGAGGUGCGAAAGCGUGGGGAGCAAACA
Molecule: ribosomal RNA, 407 nt
Filed under: uncultured Alphaproteobacteria bacterium
Lineage: Bacteria; Pseudomonadati; Pseudomonadota; Alphaproteobacteria
Description: bacterial SSU rRNA
Rfam family: Bacterial small subunit ribosomal RNA
Source: RNAcentral